RNAcentral lists this ribosomal RNA (590 nucleotides) under Farysia acheniorum. RNAcentral's name for it is "eukaryotic LSU rRNA". It matches the Rfam family "Eukaryotic large subunit ribosomal RNA", at positions 70 to 642 of the family's 3401-position model. Lineage: Eukaryota; Fungi; Basidiomycota; Ustilaginomycetes; Ustilaginales; Ustilaginaceae. The record is from RNAcentral.
AAGGAUUCCCUAGUAACGGCGAGUGAAGAGGGAAGAGCCCAAGAUUGAAAGCUGGCGCCUUCGGCGUCCGCAUUGUAAUCUCAAGAAGCAUUUUCCGCCCUUCGGACCAAGCCUAAGUCCCUUGGAAAAGGGCAUCGUAGAGGGUGAGAAUCCCGUACAUGGCUUGGAGCGCCCGAGGCUUUGUGAUAUGCAUUCUAAGAGUCGAGUUGUUUGGGAAUGCAGCUCAAAAUGGGUGGUAAAUGCCAUCUAAGGCUAAAUAUUGGGGAGAGACCGAUAGCGAACAAGUACCGUGAGGGAAAGAUGAAAAGAACUUUGAAAAGAGAGUUAAACAGUACGUGAAAUUGCCAAAAGGGAAGGGUAGGAGGUCAGAGAUGCGGCAUGGGAUUCAGCCUUGCUUUUGCUUGGUGUUUUUCCCAUUUUGCAGGCCAACGUCGGUUUUGGGCACUGGAGAAUGGUGGGAGGAAUGUGGCACUCUUCGGGGUGUGUUAUAGCCUCCUACUGGAUACAGCGACCGGGACCGAGGAACGCAGCGUACUCGAAAGAGCGGGCCUUCGGCACCUUUACGCUUAGGGCGUUGCAUAAUGACCCUC